GACAGAAUGAGUGGAAAUGUAACUGACCAAGAACUUUGGUGCACCUAAAAUUAAAUCUGUGGCCCAGCAGCUCCUCCCAGUGGAGGCUGAGGCUGCUCUGCUUCCUCCUGGGGUCCUGCCCAGACCCUCCCUCUCUGCUGACCGGGCUCUGUGAUCCCCUGGGGUGGCCCGUGACCCUCGUGUGCCAGGCCCUGCUGGAGAGGGUGAGUUCCGCCUGGAGAAGAAGGGACGUUCCCGGUUCUGGGGUCAGAGGAACUCUUCACCUUCUGAGGCAGAGGCCAGGCUCCUCUUCCCUCCAUGAGUGAGGACCCUGCUGGGCUUCAUCACUGCUGAUACCUAAAGCCCCCUUGGUCUGAGCUCAGUGAAGACUUGCAGCUGGUGCUGAGCAGUGAGGACGCCACCCAGGUCCCCAGCCGCGUCCCAGCUCAGCCAUCAGGUGACUCUGCGCCAGGCUCCGCUGCAGCACUGAAGGCCACAACAACCCCGGGAGGCCGGAGCAGGCGGCCCCUGCAGCGCCUCCCCACUUCCAACGUGCAGAGACUCCGGUUCUCUGCCGAAGGCACAGGCCUGGAGGGGCCGGGGCAGAACCAGCCCAGGGGACCCCAGCUAGACGCUCCCCAGGGGCCGGGCCUCACUGCUGGCCACUCAGCGUGGAGCCCCAGGACCCACCGCCCAAACCCAGACCCUGAGAGGAGGGGUGAGCCAUAAAAGGAGGCCCUGCCAGGAGCUGUUCAGAGGGUGCAGGUGGAUCCUCAGGGCGCACAAGCCAGCCCAGCCCCCGGGGCACCUGGAGAGAGGCCGCCUCUGUCACCAGCUGGCACCCGUCCCCAUCGCUGGUCCCAGGCACCCAGGGCGGCAAGCUGACCACCACCCAGAGCCAAGAGAAGCCGCCUGACUUGUGAGCGUCAGUGGGGAGACUUGAUGUCAGCGAACACAGAAGUCCCGCUAGUGCAGGUGCACACGCAGACCCGAAUCUGCAGGUCGUCAUGUGGCUUCAGAUCUGUCGCUUAGAUCACGGUCAUGUGACAUACACGUGCAUGGUAAAGACACCAGCACUGGAGUCGACUUAACAGCAUACGAGUGCGCAUUACAGGUAGAGGCAUGCGGUUACACUGUGCUAACAAUUUGUUACUGUAAUUAACAUAAACAAAUAAACCCCAUAUGAUUAUGUACUACAUAUGUACAAUUACAGAAUUGAACAUCACUUAUAUAUUAAAAUAAGUGACUAUUACGGCUGAUUACAUUUUCUGCAUGGAUUAAAUUAUUAGUAGAGAUCAGAAGUGCAUAAUUUCAACUAUAUACUUACAUAUUGAGUGUGAGCAUGUUCAGAGGCCUGUCUCUUACCCAUGGCACCGUGUCCUGAGCCCAUGUCCUCCCUGGGACACCCUGCAGUCCCUUACCCACC
Molecule: long non-coding RNA, 1405 nt
Organism: Sciurus carolinensis (gray squirrel)
Lineage: Eukaryota; Metazoa; Chordata; Mammalia; Rodentia; Sciuridae
Exons: 3
Source: RefSeq, a predicted model, not a curated record